GGAUUAGAUACCAUGGUAGUCCACGCCGUAAACGUUGGGCGCUAGCUGUGGGCUCCAUUCCACGGAGUCCGUGACGAAGUUAACACAUUAAGCGCCCCGCCUGGGGAGUACGGCCGCAAGGCUAAAACUCAAAGGAAUUGACGGGGGCCCGCACAAGCGGCGGAGCAUGCGGAUUAAUUCGAUGCAACGCGAAGAACCUUACCAAGUCUUGACAUAUAGAGGAAAAGUGCAGAAAUGUACUCCCCGCAAGGUCUCUAUACAGGUGGUGCAUGGUUGUCGUCAGCUCGUGUCGUGAGAUGUUGGGUUAAGUCCCGCAACGAGCGCAACCCUCGUCCUAUGUUGCCAGCACGUUAUGGUGGGAACUCAUGGGAGACUGCCGGUGUCAAACCGGAGGAAGGUGGGGAUGACGUCAAAUCAUCAUGCCCCUUAUGACUUGGGCUUCACGCAUGCUACAAUGGCCGGUACAAAGGGCUGCAAUACCGUAAGGUGGAGCGAAUCCCAAAAAGCCGGUCUCAGUUCGGAUUGAGGUCUGCAACUCGACCUCAUGAAGUUGGAGUCGCUAGUAAUCGCAGAUCAGCAACGCUGCGGUGAUACGUUCCCGGGCCUUGUACACACCGCCCGUCAAGUCACGAAAGUCGGUAACACCCGAAGCCGGUGGCCUAACCGUAAGGAAGGGAGCCGUCGAAG
This 687-nucleotide ribosomal RNA is filed under the name uncultured Actinomycetes bacterium. RNAcentral's name for it is "bacterial SSU rRNA". It matches the Rfam family "Bacterial small subunit ribosomal RNA", at positions 775 to 1461 of the family's 1533-position model. Lineage: Bacteria; Bacillati; Actinomycetota; Actinomycetes. The record is from RNAcentral.